RNAcentral lists this ribosomal RNA (253 nucleotides) under uncultured bacterium. RNAcentral describes it as "partial 16S ribosomal RNA". It matches the Rfam family "Bacterial small subunit ribosomal RNA", at positions 524 to 776 of the family's 1533-position model. RNAcentral also lists the same sequence under 1 other name. The record is from RNAcentral.
UACGGAGGGUGCAAGCGUUAUCCGGAUUUACUGGGUUUAAAGGGUGUGUAGGCGGGCUGUUAAGUCAGUGGUGAAAUCUCCGGGCUCAACCCGGAAACUGCCAUUGAUACUAUCAGUCUUGAAUAUUGUUGAGGUGGGCGGAAUAUGUCAUGUAGCGGUGAAAUGCAUAGAGAUGACAUAGAACACCGAUUGCGAAGGCAGCUCACUAAGCAUGUAUUGACGCUGAGGCACGAAAGCGUGGGGAUCAAACAGG